UGCCAAAAGAAAGGGCGUUGGAUACAAGUCUGCCCAAAGAGCCUGAAGAGUCCAGAAGAUGGGAGAGUCAAAGAGUAUGGCUGCGCUUCAGGUAAAAUCCACUAUCUAACUCCAUUAAGUUCCUAUUCAUUAAUUCUUAAUACAUAAUGUAAUAAGAUUGCAUUUGAAUGUUUUACAGGAUCGGUGAAAAGAAAGGAAGCUUGGUGAAAGAGCAAGAUGAAUCUAAUCACAAGGAAUGGAUCUUGAUCGCAUGGACUUGAAGAUUAGAUUUUGAGCUUAGAUAGUUAUGAUAGAGUUGUUAGAAAUUUUCUUUUGAAAUACAUAGUUUUCAAUGGAUUUUGCAUUGUAAGGACAAAUGUUUUCCGCUGCUUUUAUAAAUAAAAUAAAUUUUCGUUUGACUUAUUUAUUUAUUUGUUUAUUUCCUUGCAAUGAAAUCGUUAUGAAAAUUAGUGUUUGCAUACUUCUACAACAAAAUGAUUUGGUUCUUAUUUUAUUAUGGAAAGUCAAGAAUUUACCAAAUAGGGAGAGUUUCUCAUCGCCCAAGUUUCAAUUGGACAGAAACUUGGAAUCAUGCAACGUGGAUGCACGAUGAAUGAGAAAUUUCGUAUUUGGAAAUUAGACUAAUUCAUUGACAAAGUGUCAAGUGAAGGACUAGGAGAUCGAAUACACAAAGGCGUGUUGAUCAAGUCAACCAUAAGAGUAACAAUGAUAUUCGUCAUGAUUUACUAAAGGUUUAGUAAAUAUGAUUAUAAUUACAAGAUUAAGUGUAAUUUUGAAUUGAUUAAAGGGUUUAGAUCAAUAGCAGAACGAAUAAGAAGAAUCAAGUAGGCAGAAAGAUAAAAGUUUCUCCAUUCUAAGAAGAAGGGAGAGUACCUUUUAUGCUUUAUGAUAGGUCUUAAUGAUUAAGAACCAUAUCUCAAUUGAUCCUCUAAGUGAGUCUUAGUACAAUUGUAUGUCUAAGAAGAGGAAUCAAGAAUUGAAGAAAUGGUUAAAUCAAGAAGUCAAUCAUACUUCGUUCCAAAACAAGUCUUAAAGUUAAGAUUGUGACAUUGAGUGAAAAGUAUUAAGAAGGUUUAUAACAUUCAUCAAAUGUGGAAAGUUGUGAUGUCUUGGAUAAGACAAAGACCAACUAGGACCAAUUUAUGAAGUGUUUUGAUAAAAGCUACACUAACUCUUGAAUAUUUGUUUGUCAAGAAAUGUUUUUUGACAAGAGAAUCUUAUAUGUCAAGGAGUCAGUGGGAGUCUUAAUGGUCUUGAAAGGUUUCAAGAACAAAUCAAAUAAACCUUAUCGAUCAUCACUAGCACACGAGUUGAGGUUUACAACCUAUCGUGUUGACAUUAUUUUGUUUCUGUGCCAAUCCAAUCGAGUUAAUUAUGCAUGUGAGUUCUAUGAGUUCUCAUUUUGAACGCAUAAAAGGCAAAGCACCUUAAUCAAUGAAAGGUACAUUGAUAGGAAAGGGUGAGCUGCUUAACUACUUGGAAGACAUGGUGGGCAGCUGUGCUACCAUAAGGCAAGAAAUCAAGAUUAAGAAAGUUCGGUCCAUAUGAGUUUGAAUUUGUCGUAAACUUUGGUUUUAACAAAUUCACAUGGAUAGGAACACAUACACCGUUUAAAUCUAAGUGUCAUAAGAUUUCCUCCUUCAUGAAAAUGAUUGUGAGGAAAUGCUUUCACUAAGAAAGAUUUUAAGAAGAUAGUGAUUGUAAAAUUGCAUUCUCGAAUUCGAUUAUGGUUACGGUAUCCCUUUCCAUAAUUUGAAUUGUGAGGUUUGGCAAUUAGUCUUAAUUGUUUAGACACACAUAUGAACUAUCGAAGGCAAAGGUGUAUAAGUUCAAGAAGCCUUGAUAAAAGAUUAUCAAAGCACUAAGUAUUAGAAACAUGAACUUAAGAAAUUCAAUAAGUAUUGUUUUUCUGAAAGUUAAGAUGUUUAUGAAUACAUGUCGAAGCUAGUGGGAGCAUAAGUGUUAUGUUUUAUAAUAAUCAUCAUGAUAGUGGGAGCAUAAAUGUUAUGAUUGUAUGAUUAUUAAGGCACGUAUUGCAAGUUGGCAAUAUUAAUUAUAGAAAACAAGAGUUAUACCUUGCAAAGUCGUAAGGGUUGUAAAGUUGUUUUGCUAUAAUUAAGGGAGAGAAUAUUAUGCUUCAUUUCAAAUCUAAAGGCUUAGGUUGAGAAAUGUUAAUAAAUUUAGUCAAGGGUACAUAGUGUGUUCUUAAAAUUUCGAUUAUGAUUACGACAUUCCUCUUCACAAUUCGAAUUUUGAGAACAUAGCAAAUAAAACAUUAUGCGUCGUGUCCCAUACGCUUCGGGUAUAGGAUCGAUUGCAAAUGCUUUAAUGUUUGACCAUUCUAAAAUUUUCCAAAUGUCGAGCGCAUUUAGAGGGAAAAGGGACUAGAAUUGGUUUUGACUAAAAUAAUUAAACAACUAUCAAAGGACAAUCCAAAGUUCGACGAGGAUUGGUCGCUUGUGAGUAGUUGGAAGUAUAGUAUUGGAAAAUAUGGAAAUGUUUCCAUAUUGGAUGGACCAUAUCGACAUUAUUAUGAAUAGAUAAGAUUCUAUUAAGAAUGAGUUGUCAUAUGGAAAAUAUGGAAGCGUGUCCAUAUUGGGAAUUGAAUAUUGAAAAAUCUAUGACUAAAUUAGAAACUUUUAUGCAAAAGGAUGUUCAAAGGAAUGUACUUUGAGUGAGAGACAUCAUAUCUAAGGAAUUGUCUUGUAACAAUCUCCGAUAGAGGACUUUGUAAUAUCAUUGGCAAUAGUCUUUGUGACUUUGGUGCAGUGACAUUACGAAAGGAUAGUUGCAUAGAAUGUUAGAAUCUAGCAUAUUCUAUAAGUAGCAAGAAUUUGAUAUUCUUUCACUUAUGAAAAACGGAUUUGGAGUUGUGAAAUGAGAAGGAUUGGAAAUGUGUUCAAUGUGAUCUAUUUCACAAAGUAAGAACCAUAGGUAAACAUUGUGUGCAUGCUAGGAGCAUGGGACAAGUGUUGGAAUUCAAGUAAGAAGUUGAUUACCCGAAACGACAAAUAAUGAGUAAUCAAUAUGGUGAUAAAUAAAAGGUGUUUUAUUUAUACUCAAAGGUUUGAGGCCAUAUGGGAUUAGUAUUAUUCUUGUGUUUCACAUUUGCAUGUUUUGACUUCCAGAAUAAUUGAGUUUAUUAAGAAUAAUCGAAUUAUUCAAACGGGCCACAGUCGUUCAUAUGUUGGAAGUAGAUAUGAAUGAAGACUGUCGUGAAUUGGUGUGUGGAUUGUCUAAAAGAGUAUUAGACAUAAGCAAAUGUUUGCUGCAACGUUCAUGAGUGCUUAUGAAUAUGAUUUGAGCAUUGGAUUAAACCCACGCUCACUUGGAUCACUCCAUGAAUUGUAUCACGAGUGAUUGGUGAGACGAUAACAUCUUAUAUUCUUGAAACCGAGAUGUGUGAGUUGUAUCUUGCAAAUCGGUUGCACAUUGAUAAUAUGUAAACGCACUAGUAACUUGGUGUUAUAAAACAUAUUGUUGUGUGUGAUUCGGUGAGUGAGUGCAAGCAAGCAUUGUAUCAAAGUUUAUCCGUUCCUUUUAUCCAAAGUAGGAUAAAAGCGAUAUCUUUGGGCCCCUCGAUGGUUUAGUGAUGACAAACGUAAAUGCUCGGCCGGGCUAGGGCUAAUUUGAUUUGUUCAAUUAGUCAGUCGUCAUAAAUCGGAAAUCGAGAUAUAGUACAAAGAGAAUGAUUUGAAAUCAUAUCUCAUAUGAUAUCUAGAAUGGAGGAAUAUAUGAUCCCUUAUCUAAGGACACGCGUAUCUGAUAUGAUCAGAGUUGACAGCGGCUUUGGAAAGCUACGAUUGCAGAUCGGGAUCCGAAGUCAUACGCAGAAUAGUUGUUAGACUUAUCCAAGUGGGAGACUGUUGGAUUAGUGUCUAAGUCCAUAACUAUUUUGGUAUGUACUUGACCCGAUGGUGCAUGGUCCUUUUGGGUUGCCUUCACCAAAGCAACUUGAUUGGAGAAAUAAAUAGAGAGAGAGGUUAUUAUGAUUUAUUAAUAUGUUAUAAGAAUAAUAUAUUAAAGGAGAAAUCAUAUUUGUUUAAUUAAUAUUGGUCAAUAAUUAAUUAAGAAUUAAUUUUGUGAUCAAGUGUAAUUAAUUAAACUAGAGGGGCUGAAUUGUAAUUAUGUGAUAGUUACAAAAUAAGGUAAGGAUUAUCUUAUAUAUAUGGUGAACGAAUUUGAGGUGUAAAUCCCUUAGAAUUCGACUAGGAUAAGGAUUUCUAGGACUUAUCUUAUGGUUGCUUGGUGGACAAGCAACUAGAUAAGGAUAAGGACUAAAACCCUAAUCUUUACACCUAUAUAAACCCCCUAAGGCUUAGGAAUUCGUCCAACCCUUCCCAAGAGGUCCUAAGGACGAAUUCUAACCUCCCUCCUCUCUCUUUAUACCUUCUCCACUUGCUUAUGGUGUUUGUAAGCCAUUAGAGGAGUGACACUUGUGACUCUCAGCUUUCCAAGGUCAAUUCAAGGAGGAAUUGGAUUGUUAUUGCUAUAUAACAAUCAAGGUAUGUUCUUAAACCUAAUUACAUGUGAAUUCUGAUUUCCAUAUGCUAGAAUUAGGGUUCAAAGUCUUGGAUUCAAAGUAUGUACAAUAGAGAAACCUAGAUCCAAGCUUUAGGGUUUGUAUGAGCACAUAGGAUGUCUUAUGACCAAAACCCAUCAGUGGUAUCAGAGCCUUGAUUGGUUUCUAUUGUAUUGAUGCUUGAUGUAACUGAAAAUCGUGUUUUGGCCUCACUGUUCGACCUGACUCGGCGAGUCACUCUUGGACUCGGCGAGUCAGCCCUACUCGGCGAGUUCCAGAGGGUGACUCGGCGAGUCGGUGCGUCAGACAGUGCUUAUCUCGGGAUUUCUUGCUGUUUUUGCAUUGGGAUAAUUACCUUAUCAUGUUAGAUUAAUAUUAAUCCGAUUAUAUGAUAUAUUUGACUAUAUUUUUAAUCUAAUUGAAGAUAUUUAUCAAUUAAUAAGAUAAUUGUUUCCUUAUAAGAUAAUUGAUUAAUUAUUUUAAGUAAAUUGAUAAAUUAUUUUGCAAGAAAUCAUCAAAUAUGGAUAAUUAUGUGAUUAAAUGUUAAUUUGAAUUAUUUGUUAUUUGAUCCUUGUUGUUGUGAAAAGUUUCAUAUUUGGCCCUUUAGGUUUUAUAGUUUAAAUUUGAACCCCAAAAGUUUUGUUGUUUUGAAAUUUAAAUAGUUGAAACCCUAAUGUUUUGAAAAAGGUUUCAAAACUUGCCCUCAAGUUUUGGAAUUUAAAUUUUGAUUAAAUAGUUUAAUUUUGAUGCAUAUUUAAAUUCUAAACCCUAAUGUGUUGAAAUGUUUCAAAACUUGCCCUCAAGUUUUGGAAUUUAAAAGUUGAUUAAAAGUUUAAUUAGGAAUGUUAAAUUCUAAAACUCUAGUAUAGUUUUGAAAAAGUUCAAAUCACACCCUUAUGGUUUUAUUAAUUAAUUAAGGUGUAUAAUUAAAAGAGGUUUAAUAAAUCCAUAAAAGUUUAGGUUUACAAUUUAAUUGAAUUAAAAGUAUAAUUGUUAAAUUAGACCACCUAGUAUUUUAAAAGUAUAAAAUACACCCUAUACUAUAUAUAACAUUAAAAGUCUAACAUUAUAUAUAUGUAUGAGUAAAAGUCAGUCUUACCGUUAGUAGGCCUCAUUCACGAAGCUGGUCUAUAAGGGGUGUUUAAGGAAAUUGCCUAUAAAAUGGCGAUUGAAUGGGUAUCCACUCUUACCCACCGCACUCUUGACUAGUGGAGGGUCGUUAGCCGAACGGGUAGGAUAGGACGAAACCUUCCAUUAUAAGUAUAAUGAAUUAUUAAAGUAACUAAAUGUUUUCAUAAAAUUCCCAAUCUUAGUUACUUAGGCAAAAGUGAAUUGAUGCAAUUCCAUGAAAUUACACUUUGUGCCCUUGCGAAGACGUUAGUGGAGCGUGUGUGGUUAACCGGCACACUAAAUGGUUCUAAGCAAAGGUAGCAAAGGGUGACUCAAUGUUUGUCAUAGUUCGGUGGAGCGUGUGUGGUUUACCGGCACAUCGAAUAGGUGACUGUAACAUGUGAGGGCACCAUGUAAGUUUGCAUGGUUAUUCACACCCGCUUUGUGAUCCUCGGCAUCCCAGUCACAAACAAGAGGGGCAUAUCGAGAUUUAAACAUGCCAUUGAAAGUUCAAUGAAUCUCAAAGGAUCUAGGAGUUUUCAUAGAUUUAAAACUUAAAUUUCUUUUUCGUUUUUCAUGGUGGAAAUUAGUGAAUCGUCAUUCACUUACCUUCAAAUAUUCUGCAAUUAGGGUUACGGCAUCCCUCUCCCGAGUUGUAGAAUAUUGUGUUGGGUCCUAGCCUUAGUAUCUCAUUUGGGUGAUUUACUAAGGACUCAAUCAAUCAACUAACUUGAAUUCGUUUUCUCCCGUUUUGUAGAUGUCAAAGUUCGACAACUAUGGUCUUCCCAAAUCCCGUGGAACAAGCAUUCCACAUGAAGAUGAUAUUCCACGAUUCGAUCGAGGAACAAGAAAUCAUGCUUCACUUCCUCCUCCUCCUCCAAUUAUUCUCCCUAACCCACAAGUUCAAAGGCUUGAAAAGUUCAAGAUCACUCAAGCCCUUUUGGCAAGUAAACAUAAAGAAGGAAAGUCGGUGUGUGCACACGUCCUAGGGAUGAAGUCACACAUUGAUAGGUUAAGAAUGUUGGGAUCCGUUGUCUGUGAGGAAAUGGCUGUUGAUUGGGUUCUUCAGUCACUUCCUAACUCAUAUAGUGAGUUCGUAAGAGAGUACUAUAUGAUGAACCGCGACGUGACCCUUAUAGAUCUCACCUAUAUGCUUAUUGCUGCUGAAUCAGCAAUGGUUUGGCGCAAUAGAAAAGCAAAGUUGAUUGGUGAAUCUGCCUUCAAGACCUCUAUGGAUAUAGACAAUGGCAACGAAAGACAUGCUAUGAUCGAAAAGUUUGAUCAUAAGAGAAAGGCAAUGUCUGAAGUAGUUCCAUGUCAUGUUCCAAAAGAGUCAAUUUGCUUUUAUUGCCAAGAGAAAGGGCAUUGGAGACGAAGCUGCCCCAUUUACCUAAGAGAUCUAAGAGAUGGGAGAGUCGAAACGUAUGGCUCUAAUAUAGGUAAAAUCCAUUAACUAACUCUUUUAAGCUUCUAUUCUAGAUUCUUAAUACAUAAUGUGAUAAGAUUACAAUUGAUGUUUUGUAGGAUCGAAGAAAAGAAAGGAAGCUUAAGGGAAGAAGUGAGCAGAAUCUAACCGUGAAGGAAUGGAUUUCGAUCGCAUUUCUCGAAGAUUAGAUUCUUGAGCUACUACUUAGAGUUAGAAUUAGAUUGCUAAGAAAGAUGUAUUAGCAUAGUUUUUCAAUGAAUUGCAUUGUAAGGACAAAUUUUUUCCGCAAUAAAAUAAAUUUUGAUUUUAUAUUAUUUAUUUAUCCUUGCAAUGGCGUAUAUGAAAAAUUGAUGUUUGAAUGUUUCUAUUAUUAGCAAUAAUGGAUUUGGUUCUUAUUAUGUUAUUUAUGGAAAGUCGAGAGUUUACCAAAUAGGGAGAGUUUCUCAUCGCCCAAGUUUCAAUUGGACAGAAACUUGGAAUCAUGCAACUUGGUUGCACGAUGAAUGAGAAAUUUCAUAUUUGGAAAUUAGACUAAUUCAUUGACAAAGUGUCAAGUGAAGGACUAGGAGAUCGAGUACACAAAGUUGCGUGUUGAUCAAGUCCACCAUAAGAGUAACAAAGAUAUUCGUCAUGAUUUACUAAAGGUUUAGUAAAUAUGAUUAUACUUAUAAGAUUAAGUGUAAUUCUGAAUUGAUUGAAAAAGUUUAAAUCAAUAGCAGAACGAAUAAGAAGAAUCAAGUAGGCAGAAAGAUAAAAGUUUCUCCAUUCUAAGAAGAAGGGAGAGUACCUUUUAUGCUUUAUGAUAGGUCUUAAUGAUUAAGAACCAUAUCUCAAUUGAUCCUCUAAGUGAGUCUUAGUACAAUUGUAUGUCUAAGAAGAGGAAUCAAGAAUUGAAGAAAUGGUUAAAUCAAGAAGUCAAUCA
RNAcentral lists this long non-coding RNA (7980 nucleotides) under Lactuca sativa (garden lettuce). Its description in RNAcentral is "long non-coding RNA (LSAT_LNC007798)". The record is from RNAcentral. Lineage: Eukaryota; Viridiplantae; Streptophyta; Magnoliopsida; Asterales; Asteraceae.